AAAAAAAAACAAAAAAUCUC
Molecule: microRNA, 20 nt
Filed under: Corchorus capsularis
Lineage: Eukaryota; Viridiplantae; Streptophyta; Magnoliopsida; Malvales; Malvaceae
Description: sRNA CCACVL1_19343
Source: RNAcentral